Molecule: RNase P RNA, 412 nt
Filed under: Actinobacteria bacterium 13_2_20CM_2_71_6
Lineage: Bacteria; Bacillati; Actinomycetota
Description: RNase P RNA component class A
Rfam family: Bacterial RNase P class A
About the family: Ribonuclease P (RNase P) is a ubiquitous endoribonuclease, found in archaea, bacteria and eukarya as well as chloroplasts and mitochondria.
Source: RNAcentral
CGAGUCGACCGGGCGGUCGCGUCAGGGCUGCGGCCCUGCCGAGGAACGUCCGGGCUCCACAGGGCAGGGUGGUUGCUAACGGCAACCCGGGGCGACCCGCGGGAAAGUGCCACAGAAAGCAGACCGCCGCGCGUUUCCGGCUCCGGCCGGAGGUGAUGCGGUAAGGGUGAAACGGUGGAGUAAGAGCCCACCAGCAUCCCGGGUGACCGGGAUGGCUCGGAAACCCCCCCCCGGAGCAAGGCCAAGAGGGCCACCGCCGCGAGGUGGUGGCCUGCGCAGGCGAUCGAGGGCGGCCCGCCCGAUGCCUGCGGGUAGGCCGCUGGAGCCUACCGGCGACGGUAGGCCGAGAUGGAUGGCCGCCGCCUCACGCACGCGUGAGGUACAGGACCCGGCGUACAGGUCGACUCGUCCG